GGUAAUUUCAGUUUUUGACAGCAAUCUUGUCUCGAAUCACCUGUCAGUAAGACUCAUUCGUCUCUUUUCUUUGAAAACCUACACUACACCGUUAUGAAGUCUUUCGUGAUUAUUCUAUCUGUUCUGUUGAGCUUCUUGACUUUCAGCGGGUUGGCCCAGACGCACGACGUACAAUCUUUCUCUGAAGAAAAACCGUUCACUCCGACAUACGUGGGGAAAAUGAAAUUCGCAGAUGUUGUUCAACCGCAAUUAAUCCGUCAUUCCCGGCAUGCGCCCUUUCUUGCUGGAGCAGCAGUUGGAGCAAUCGUAGCGAACAAUCGUCAUCCUAACCAUAACGCUCCCAGCUACUACUAUCCGCCUAGUUAUUAUCCAUCGGGUCAUUAUCAUACUCACGGGUAGAAACUUAAAUCAGAAGGUUAAUUUUUCUGCAGUUAUGAAACAACAACAUCUCAUAAUCCCAAUAACUAAUUUACACACAUGACAGAUCUGCCAACAACCAAUACCAAUGACCAAUACAUUAGCCAAAUUUACUGGAA
Daphnia pulex (common water flea) is the source of this 536-nucleotide long non-coding RNA. RefSeq lists it as uncharacterized. The transcript has 2 exons. Lineage: Eukaryota; Metazoa; Arthropoda; Branchiopoda; Diplostraca; Daphniidae. The record is from RefSeq and is a predicted model, not a curated record.